RNAcentral lists this ribosomal RNA (1200 nucleotides) under Triticum aestivum (bread wheat). RNAcentral's name for it is "partial small subunit ribosomal RNA". Lineage: Eukaryota; Viridiplantae; Streptophyta; Magnoliopsida; Poales; Poaceae. The record is from RNAcentral.
AUGAGGCGCCGCAUUGAAGAUCGAACGAUGGCAAGGCACGGGGACGCCGAUGAGGAUGAGCCAGGAGCGCACAUGCUCUUGCCCGGAAGGAAUUUUGCAAAUGAAUCAGUGUGUGCCAUGAAGAACAAGCAACGAUACCGUGAAAGUGACAUGCCAGUGAAACUGACAUUCCAAUCCUUAAAGGAGGUCACAAACAACUUUGCCGACAAACUUGGCAGUGGUGCAUCUGCGGAAGUUUACAGGGGAGAGUUCAAUGGAGAAGUGAUUGCCGUAAAGAAACUGCCAUUCAGGAUUGGGAUUGAUGAGAAGCAAUUCCAGAACGAAUACGAACACCUUAAGAGGCUCAAGCAUCCUAAUAUCGUGCGGCUAGUGGGCUUCUGUGAUGAAACAGAGCAUGCAUUUGUCGAGUACAAAGGGAAAACAAUAAUUGCCGAAGAAAUACAUAGGGCACUCUGCCUCGAAUGCCUGCCCAAGGGACCCCUUAGUGACUAUCUUCGUGAAAAAUAUACUGGACGUAGUUGGCACACACGGUUCCAGAUAAUCAACGGGAUGUGUGAGGGUUUGAAAUAUAUUCAUGAAGUUUCCGUUGUGCAUUUGGAUAUAAAGCCUGGUAAUAUAUUGCUAGAUGCAGAAAUGAUACCCAAAAUUGCGGAUUUUGGAAUAUCAAGGCUAUUGGUCGAAGAAUGCAUCAGAGAGGCAACUCAGUUAGGGACAAUUGGAUACAUACCAAGGGAGUUCAUAGACAAUGAAGUUAUCUCAAGAGAGUUUGACAUCUUUAGCUUAGGGGUUACGAUUAUGAAGAUAUUGACAGAACCAAUGGACUACUGGAACAUUUCUUACAUGAAUGACAAGGAAUGUAUUGAGCAUGUACACGACAACUGGAGGAAAAGGUUUGAGGAGAUACCACGGUAUCUAUGGCUUGAAGAAUAUUGUAAACAAGUAAGAACUUGUAUUGAGAUCGCACUACAAUGUAUGGAUAUUGAGCGACUUAAUAGGCCUUCGAUGAAUCAUAUUGUCAGUAAGCUGAUUCCAAUACGAAGGAUAGGGGUACGUCGUGGGCGCGCUACAGCCGCUCAUUAUAUGACAUCUAGUUUAAAAGUAGAUUAUACGUCUGCCAAGUUUUCAACGGACUUAUCGUUGCCGAUAGACAUCAACGAGAUGAUAGACACCCCUCAGAUGCCUUCACUAGGUUGGUGCUAG